RNAcentral lists this ribosomal RNA (94 nucleotides) under uncultured bacterium. RNAcentral's name for it is "partial 16S ribosomal RNA". It matches the Rfam family "Bacterial small subunit ribosomal RNA", at positions 1389 to 1482 of the family's 1533-position model. The record is from RNAcentral.
ACCGCCCGUCACAUCAUGAAAGUCGGGAACAUCCGAAGCCGGUGUCCUAACCGCAAGGAAGGAGCCGUCUAAGAUGGAAUCGAUGAUUGGGGUG